GGAAUUACUGGGCGUAAAGAGCUCGUAGGUGGUUUGUCGCGUUGUUCGUGAAAUCUCACGGCUUAACUGUGAGCGUGCGGGCGAUACGGGCAGACUUGAGUACUGCAGGGGAGACUGGAAUUCCUGGUGUAGCGGUGGAAUGCGCAGAUAUCAGGAGGAACACCGGUGGCGAAGGCGGGUCUCUGGGCAGUAACUGACGCUGAGGAGCGAAAGCGUGGGGAGCGAACAGGAUUAGAUACCCUGGUAGUCCACGCCGUAAACGGUGGGUACUAGGUGUGGGUUUCCUUCCUUGGGAUCCGUGCCGUAGCUAACGCAUUGAGUACCCCGCCUGGGGAGUACGGCCGCAAGGCUAAAACUCAAAGAAAUUGACGGGGGCCCGCACAAGCGGCGGAGCAUGUGGAUUAAUUCGAUGCAACGCGAAGAACCUUACCUGGGUUUGACAUGCACAGGACGCCGGCAGAGAUGUCGGUUCCCUUGUGGCCUGUGUGCAGGUGGUGCAUGGCUGUCGUCAGCUCGUGUCGUGAGAUGUUGGGUUAAGUCCCGCAACGAGCGCAACCCUUGUCUCAUGUUGCCAGCGGGUAAUGCCGGGGACUCGUGAGAGACUGCCGGGGUCAACUCGGAGGAAGGUGGGGAUGACGUCAAGUCAUCAUGCCCCUUAUGUCCAGGGCUUCACACAUGCUACAAUGGCCGGUACAAAGGGCUGCGAUGCCGCGAGGUUAAGCGAAUCCUUUUAAAGCCGGUCUCAGUUCGGAUCGGGGUCUGCAACUCGACCCCGUGAAGUCGGAGUCGCUAGUAA
This 796-nucleotide ribosomal RNA is filed under the name uncultured Mycobacterium sp. RNAcentral's name for it is "bacterial SSU rRNA". It matches the Rfam family "Bacterial small subunit ribosomal RNA", at positions 547 to 1341 of the family's 1533-position model. The record is from RNAcentral. Lineage: Bacteria; Bacillati; Actinomycetota; Actinomycetes; Mycobacteriales; Mycobacteriaceae.